This 449-nucleotide ribosomal RNA is filed under the name uncultured prokaryote. Its description in RNAcentral is "bacterial SSU rRNA". It matches the Rfam family "Bacterial small subunit ribosomal RNA", at positions 355 to 796 of the family's 1533-position model. The record is from RNAcentral.
UGGGGAAUAUUGCACAAUGGGCGCAAGCCUGAUGCAGCCAUGCCGCGUGUGUGAAGAAGGCCUUCGGGUUGUAAAGCACUUUCAGUCGUGAGGAAGGUGGUGUAGUUAAUAGCUGCAUUAUUUGACGUUAGCGACAGAAGAAGCACCGGCUAACUCCGUGCCAGCAGCCGCGGUAAUACGGAGGGUGCGAGCGUUAAUCGGAAUUACUGGGCGUAAAGCGCAUGCAGGUGGGUGAUUAAGUCAGAUGUGAAAGCCCGGGGCUCAACCUCGGAACAGCAUUUGAAACUGGUCACCUAGAGUACUGUAGAGGGGGGUAGAAUUUCAGGUGUAGCGGUGAAAUGCGUAGAGAUCUGAAGGAAUACCGGUGGCGAAGGCGGCCCCCUGGACAGAUACUGACACUCAGAUGCGAAAGCGUGGGGAGCAAACAGGAUUAGAUACCCCCGUAGUCC